This 253-nucleotide ribosomal RNA is filed under the name uncultured bacterium. RNAcentral's name for it is "partial 16S ribosomal RNA". It matches the Rfam family "Bacterial small subunit ribosomal RNA", at positions 524 to 776 of the family's 1533-position model. The record is from RNAcentral.
UACGUAGGUGGCAAGCGUUGUCCGGAUUUACUGGGCGUAAAGAGCGCGCAGGCGGUCGUUCAAGUCGCGUGUGAAAGCCCCCGGCUCAACUGGGGAGGGUCACGCGAUACUGAUCGACUCGAAGGCAGGAGAGGGAAGUGGAAUUCCCGGUGUAGUGGUGAAAUGCGUAGAUAUCGGGAGGAACACCUGUGGCGAAAGCGGCUCACUGGACCACAACUGACGCUGAUGCGCGAAAGCUAGGGGAGCAAACAGG